Molecule: long non-coding RNA, 1677 nt
Filed under: Pelobates cultripes (western spadefoot toad)
Lineage: Eukaryota; Metazoa; Chordata; Amphibia; Anura; Pelobatidae
Source: RNAcentral
GGUUGUGCAUUUAUGAAAAUUACAUACAAUCGUUCUAUAAGUCACGGCAUCAUAGACAGGCUUCAAUACUAUAUGUUUACAACUGGAAGUGACAUUUGAGGAACAUGCACAUUUUUUAUAUUAAUGUUUAAACAAGCUUUAACCAUUUAGUUACAUCUGAAAAGUCCAGCUAGGCAAAAAAUAAUGGUGAAUAAUGGUAAAUAAUAAGAAUAAUACGGUAGCUUAAACUAUGUGGUUAGGCACAGGAGGCACGUUACAAAUUGCUAUGGGCAUCAGGAGAGAGAUUAUCUGGUGAGACAGUGUCAUCUAGGCAUAUUAGGUAGACAGACAGUAACAUUGUCAGAGAAGCAUGAAACCACGUAGAUGGGGUAAAACAAUGUGGAUUAGAGUAAUGGCAUAUACUUUGUAUAGAUAGGUCAACCUUGGGUAAAUAUAACAUUCUGGAGGCUAAGCCAGUGCCUUGCCUAACUGAGGUGUAUGGUCACUAGCGUCCUCAAGCGUGUGUGAGCUGAGCCAGCUGACCCUAACUGGCAUCAACUGAGCCCAUGAGUGGGUGUGUGUCGUUCACUGGUUAAAAAGGGGGAAAUGUGUAAUUGUGGAACAGGAGCUGGGUUCUUAACAAUGAAACAAGCUGUGUUACUUAAGUGUCCCAGAACGUCUCUUAGCCCACGCCAGCAGCUGGUAUGGCUUCGUCCCCCAGAGUGGCAUUGUCGGUGGUGCUUGAAGAUGUUGCCCUCAGGUCGUCGCCGUUUUCCCCAACCAGGGCUUGUAUUCGAUGGCCGCAGGAAUGAGAGGAGCAUGCUUUGCUUUGGCGGGUUCGUCGUUUCGUUCGGGUGUUCCUGCUGUGUCCCGAUUUCCCGCCUCUUUGGCUCCGGGGCUGUAUGAGAGCCCUUGCCUUUUGUCCAUGAAGCCUCCCAAUCUCGGUUGUUGGCUUGUGAGCCCGUGGGUUCUCCUCAUCCCGGGCGUCCCGACUGGUGUAUGGACGGCAUGGAGUAAACUCCUGGCAGGCUCCCAGCCCAGAAGAGUAUCGGGCAGUCUGGGUAUUAUCUUCGGGUACCCUCUUGGCAGGAGAUGCUGGUGGGAGAGAUCUUACUUCAAGUCUAUGCCAGAACGCUUGGCAGAUUGCGUCAAACUUGCUUUCAAAAGCUUCCCUCCACUUUUGAGCCGGUGGGCCCAGGUUACUCUGCUUUGGUUGCAGCUCGGCGGCCAUCUUGGUAGCGCCAUGCAGGCUGUUUCUGUGCCGCUCAGGAUCCGCUGGAGAUAGGUAUGUUGCUGCAUGUUGGUGCUUCAUUCCAGCGGGGACCGGGAUAUCCCCCACCGGUCCUAAGGGGGGGCGACGGGGCUCCAGUGUCGCUUUGAGCACGUUUCCUCCGCCGGGGGAUCGGCCGCCUCCCCCAGACAACAGGCCGCGCACCUUUGAGUGUCGCCAGGCCUGGGACAUGGUUUGCCAGUCGGAGCAGUAACAAGCUUAGCGGGGUCCGUGUGGCUGUGGGUAUGUCUCGCUUGUGGUUUAGCCUUGGUACCCGCUUACAAAACACACAAUUCCCUUCGAUUAGUCUCAGGGUUGCCGGAGCUCCAGGCAAACACGUCCAGCCAGCUCGAGAGUCAGGCCCCGCCCCACAUAUAUUUUUUUUAUAAACCUGUGUUGUGUUUGCAAUUUGGUAUCCAUGAGAGCAG